GAUUAACGCUGGCGGCGUGCAUAACACAUGCAAGUCGAACGAUGAAACUCAUUAGAUUUCUUCGGAAUGAAAAUGAAUGGAUUAGUGGCGAACGGGUGAGUAACGCGUGAGUAACCUGCCUUACACAAGGGGAUAGCCUCUGGAAACGGAGAAUAAUACCCUAUGAAACCAGACAAUCGCAUGAUAAUCUGGUCAAAAUGUUUAGUGGUGUAAGAUGGACUUGCGUCUGAUUAGCUAGUUGGUGAGAUAAAAGCUCACCAAGGCAACGAUCAGUAGCCGGCUUGAGAGAGUGUACGGCCACAUUGGGACUGAGACACGGCCCAGACUCCGACGGGAGGCAGCAGUGGGGAAUUUUGCACAAUGGGGGAAACCCUGAUGCAGCGACGCCGCGUGAUUUAGAAGGCCUUCGGGUUGUAAAAAUCUUUUGUAUAGGAAGAAAAUGACAGUACUAUACGAAUAAGGUCCGGCUAAUUACGUG
RNAcentral lists this ribosomal RNA (478 nucleotides) under uncultured bacterium. RNAcentral describes it as "partial 16S ribosomal RNA". It matches the Rfam family "Bacterial small subunit ribosomal RNA", at positions 28 to 507 of the family's 1533-position model. The record is from RNAcentral.